CUGCCUCAUCAGCCUCUUGUUCUCCAGGGGCAAAGCUGCUCUUUUCAGCAAGUUCAGCCCACAGAGAAGUGGCCAUUAACUGCAGCUCCUCAUUAUGGAAAGGAAGAACAUCAGAUAGGAAGGGGACACUGAGCUUUUCCUGGACUGAGCAACACCAAGAGCCUGCAGAUACGUGGGGCAGAUGAUCAGGCAAGCUCUGCUCCCUUCCCUGGAGGACUGGGGAGCACAAAUUGCCAGGAACAGCCCCAUUCUGGGGGAUCAUUCCAGCGCUCUCAAAUUCCCUUAUUCCUACAAAAGGCACCCUUCCACACACAGCCAGGUACUUUUCACAGCUACUUCAAAUGAAUGAGGAGCAGGUAGAAAGAUAAAAGCAGAGGAAUAAAUUGGACCCAUUUCUUGAAGGAAUCUGUCUGGAUUACUGAGGCCAGACAUCAAAGAAAGGGGGAAAAAAGCACCCUCUUGCCAAGCUUAUGUUUCCAUAUAUGUAUUUCCUCCCCAGUCCUUGUGUAGACUCUGCUUUUUGCAUCAGCCCUCUUGGCUGAUACCGCAACACUUCGCUGCUUUUCAUCUUCAAAAUGUGAACAAAUUCAU
Molecule: long non-coding RNA, 591 nt
Organism: Passer domesticus (house sparrow)
Lineage: Eukaryota; Metazoa; Chordata; Aves; Passeriformes; Passeridae
Exons: 2
Source: RefSeq, a predicted model, not a curated record